GGUGAGAUUGAAGAUUUUGUGUUUUGAAGAUUGAAUUAUACUUAUUUUUUUUAUUUUUUAUUUUUUUUAGAGUAAGCAAUUUAUUAUAUAGUAAGAAUAGUUGUUAGUGAAGAUUAUUUAUUAUCCAAAAUCAAAGAAAGUUGAAGUUGCAACUUAGGCACUAAGUUUUUAGUGAACUAGCUCAAAUUUAUCUGCAAUUCAAAGUAUAGCUAACUUGGGGAUCUUUUUAGUAGAUUUUUUUCUUUAAAAACAUGUUGAUUUCAUGUUAUAAGACACUUUACUAAUAAAAAUUCUUAUGAUGAGAAUACUUUAUAUAA
RNAcentral lists this long non-coding RNA (317 nucleotides) under Physcomitrium patens. Its description in RNAcentral is "long non-coding RNA (PPAT_LNC005320)". Lineage: Eukaryota; Viridiplantae; Streptophyta; Bryopsida; Funariales; Funariaceae. The record is from RNAcentral.